GAAAUGCGAUAAGUAAUGUGAAUUGCAGAAUUCAGUGAAUCAUCGAAUCUUUGAACGCACCUUGCGCUCCUUGGUAUUCCUUGGAGCAUGCCUGUUUGAGUAUCAUGAAAUCUUCAAAGUAAAUCUUUUGUUAACUCAAUUGGUUUCUACUUUGGUAUUGGAGGUCUUUGCAGCUUCACACCUGCUCCUCUUUGUUCAUUAGCUGGAUCUCAGUGUUAUGCUUGGUUCCACUCGACGUGAUAAGUUAUCUAUCGCUGAGGACACUGUAAAAGGUGGCCAAGGUAAAUGCAGAUGAACCGCUUCUAAUAGUCCAUUGACUUGGACAAUACUUUUAUGAUCUGAUCUCAAAUCAGGUAGGUCUACCCGCUGAACUUAAGC
This 378-nucleotide unclassified non-coding RNA is filed under the name plant metagenome. Its description in RNAcentral is "partial contains 5.8S ribosomal RNA, internal transcribed spacer 2, and large subunit ribosomal RNA". The stretch from base 1 to 105 matches the Rfam family "5.8S ribosomal RNA", at positions 50 to 154 of the family's 154-position model. The record is from RNAcentral.